Molecule: transfer RNA, 77 nt
Filed under: Peptococcaceae bacterium
Lineage: Bacteria; Bacillati; Bacillota; Clostridia; Eubacteriales; Peptococcaceae
Description: tRNA-Arg
Rfam family: tRNA
About the family: Transfer RNA (tRNA) molecules are approximately 80 nucleotides in length. Their secondary structure includes four short double-helical elements and three loops (D, anti-codon, and T loops). Further hydrogen bonds mediate the characteristic L-shaped molecular structure. tRNAs have two regions of fundamental functional importance: the anti-codon, which is responsible for specific mRNA codon recognition, and the 3' end, to which the tRNAs corresponding amino acid is attached (by aminoacyl-tRNA synthetases). tRNAs cope with the degeneracy of the genetic code in two manners: having more than one tRNA (with a specific anti-codon) for a particular amino acid; and 'wobble' base-pairing, i.e. permitting non-standard base-pairing at the 3rd anti-codon position.
Source: RNAcentral
GCGCCCGUAGCUCAGCUGGAUAGAGUAACGGACUACGAAUCCGGGGGUCGCAGAUUCGAAUUCUGCCGGGCGCACCA